ACCCAGACUCCUACGGGAGGCAGCAGUAGGGAAUAUUGCUCAAUGGGGGAAACCCUGAUGCAGCGACGCCGCGUGAGUGAAGAAGUAAUUCGUUAUGUAAAGCUCUAUCAGCAGGGAAGAAAAUGACGGUACCCGAGUAAGAAGCCCCGGCUAACUACGUGCCAGCAGCCGCGGUAAUACGUAGGGGGCAAGCGUUAUCCGGAUUUACUGGGUGUAAAGGGAGCGUAGACGGCAGUGCAAGUCUGGAGUGAAAGGCGGGGGCUCAACCCCCGGACUGCUCUGGAAACUGUACGGCUGGAGUGCAGGAGAGGUAAGUGGAAUUCCUAGUGUAGCGGUGAAAUGCGUAGAUAUUAGGAGGAACACCAGUGGCGAAGGCGGCGUACUGGACGAUGACUGCCGCUGAGGCUCGAAAGCGUGGGGAGCAAACAGGAUUAGAUACCCCAGUAGCA
This 449-nucleotide ribosomal RNA is filed under the name uncultured bacterium. Its description in RNAcentral is "bacterial SSU rRNA". It matches the Rfam family "Bacterial small subunit ribosomal RNA", at positions 329 to 795 of the family's 1533-position model. The record is from RNAcentral.